CGAGCGAACAGACGAGGAGCUUGCUCCUCUGACGUUAGCGGCGGACGGGUGAGUAACACGUGGAUAACCUACCUAUAAGACUGGGAUAACUUCGGGAAACCGGAGCUAAUACCGGAUAAUAUAUUGAACCGCAUGGUUCAAUAGUGAAAGACGGUUUUGCUGUCACUUAUAGAUGGAUCCGCGCCGCAUUAGCUAGUUGGUAAGGUAACGGCUUACCAAGGCAACGAUGCGUAGCCGACCUGAGAGGGUGAUCGGCCACACUGGAACUGAGACACGGUCCAGACUCCUACGGGAGGCAGCAGUAGGGAAUCUUCCGCAAUGGGCGAAAGCCUGACGGAGCAACGCCGCGUGAGUGAUGAAGGUCUUCGGAUCGUAAAACUCUGUUAUUAGGGAAGAACAAAUGUGUAAGUAACUAUGCACGUCUUGACGGUACCUAAUCAGAAAGCCACGGCUAACUACGUGCCAGCAGCCGCGGUAAUACGUAGGUGGCAAGCGCUAUCCGGAAUUAUUGGGCGUAAAGCGCGCGUAGGCGGUUUUUUAAGUCUGAUGUGGAAGCCCACGGCUCAACCGUGGAGGGUCAUUGGAAACUGGAAAACUUGAGUGCAGAAGAGGAAAGUGGAAUUCCAUGUGUAGCGGUGAAAUGCGCAGAGAUAUGGAGGAACACCAGUGGCGAAGGCGACUUUCUGGUCUGUAACUGACGCUGAUGUGCGAAAGCGUGGGGAUCAAACAGGAUUAGAUA
Molecule: ribosomal RNA, 739 nt
Filed under: uncultured Staphylococcus sp.
Lineage: Bacteria; Bacillati; Bacillota; Bacilli; Caryophanales; Staphylococcaceae
Description: bacterial SSU rRNA
Rfam family: Bacterial small subunit ribosomal RNA
Source: RNAcentral